Esox lucius (northern pike) is the source of this 713-nucleotide long non-coding RNA. The record is from Ensembl. Lineage: Eukaryota; Metazoa; Chordata; Actinopteri; Esociformes; Esocidae.
AUCGCAAUGGGGAACGUCUGGCUAUCGUUAUGGCCUUUUGGAAAAAAGGUCUACCUAAUUUGGACUGCCUUGGUCUGAAUUUUAAUAAUGAUCAUGGAACCAUUAAUGGAAUAGCAGAUGUUUCUGAAGUUACAGAAAGGAAGAAUGGGUGUAAGCAUUUCAACCACAUCACCUUGAAUCUAAAAAGGGCCGGUGAAGAAAACCUUCUGCCAUAUGAGUACACUGAUUAUACAGCAACCGUUCCAUUUAUUUCUGAGGCUUCAAUAGUGAGAAGCUAUUGGCUGUUUUUGCAGUGUGUUUUUUCUGAACUCUUUCCAUUUCAGGUUUUCGGUGUCUGUUGAAGAUUUGUUGACAAUCCCCUCGACAAGUCAAAGUAAAUGUACCUAUAGGUUGGGUCACGAAAGCAAGCAAGGACCGUUGUGGACCAGCUGACUUGACUGUUAAAUAGAAAAAUGUGAAUCAGACUUGACUGUUAAAUACAUGUAUUGGAACAGACACUGACUACUCUGGUUAAUGCAGCUUUGUCCAGUUAUUUACUUUAACUGUGAUUUAUCACAUCAAAUGUGAGGUUGACAAUUGUAAUGCUGUUGAAGCAUUACUUGAACUGUGCAGUAGAAAGAUGCGUACAUGGGAACUCUCCCUAACUACUUACACAAAUGUUUUGGGCAUGUUUAAGUGUACUGUAAAUUAGGCAAUAAAAGUACUCAACUAUU